CUGAGACAGCUUACCCUGC
Molecule: microRNA, 19 nt
Filed under: Ananas comosus (pineapple)
Lineage: Eukaryota; Viridiplantae; Streptophyta; Magnoliopsida; Poales; Bromeliaceae
Description: microRNA s0687_c90a
Source: RNAcentral